UUAUAGUUAGGUCAGAAGACCUAAUCAUCUCAGAUUCCAGUUUCUUCCAAUAUUUUCUGUAAUUCAGCCAUGGAGACUCUCAGUAAUAUCCAGAUGAUGAUGAUGAUGAUGAUGAUGAUGAUGAUGACAAUAACUAUAUGACAAUGUGGACAAUAAAGACAAAGUCCCAGAACAGCUUGUUAUGAAUGAUCAUACACAAUACAGGAACUGGCAAACGGAAUCCAUUGAUUAAACAAUACACCAUCCAAUGUCAUCUACUUUCUACCUAGAAAGAAGACUGUACACUGAAGAACAGAAGUAAAUCCUGUGUACUUGGAGCACCGGGACAAAAAGGAAUCAGACUGGGAGCCUGAAGCUGCAGUGGAUAAAUUUGUGCCAGACUGGAGCAGGCCUGGUAUGGUCAAUGCAUAAAACUGAAGAGUCCUGGGGGCCUGGGUAGCUUAUCCGGUUAAGCACUGGACGUCAGCUCAGGUUCUGAUUCCAGGGUCCUAUGAUGGAGCCCCAUAUGAAGCCCCCACAUCCAGCCCCCCACAGAACCCUGCACAGAGGUCCCUGCUCAGCGAGAAGUCGGCUUGUCCCUCUCCCUCUGCCCCUUUCCCUACUGGUGUGCACGCGUGUGUAAUAGCUC
Molecule: long non-coding RNA, 628 nt
Organism: Canis lupus familiaris (dog)
Lineage: Eukaryota; Metazoa; Chordata; Mammalia; Carnivora; Canidae
Exons: 3
Source: RefSeq, a predicted model, not a curated record